GGGAAGUGGAGGCUCCUUUUCAAGGACUUUGGCAUUAAAGAGCAGAGAGAAAGGAGGUGAAAUUUAGAGGGGCUUAGUCAAGUGAGCCUUGCCUGAGGAGAAAGAGUCCCAGAUGGAUGCCCGCAGCAGUGGUGAAAGGGGAGGAGGAGUGAUGUAUCUGGUAAACUGGGGGAAAGGAACCGGGUACACCCGGGCCAGCAGAGCAGCCUCCCUCUUCUCCGUCAACCUUUUAGCUGGAUCCGGAUACAGGCUACAUCCCAGUCUGCUCAUACAUUAGAGAGGAUUAAAAGCUCAAAGACGUGUUCAAGGAGAGAUGUGAGCCCCAAAGAGGGGCAUCUAAUCCAGCCUAGGGCCAUCAAAAGAGGCCACCUGGAGGAGUCACCUUCUGAGCUAAGUCCUCAAGAAUAAAGAGAUGUUACCAAAGGACUGAGGUGAGUUGUGUCUCUCUCCCGUGACAUCAAUCAGCGGUUCACUUCUCACCUGUCUCUGGGGCAGCAACGUGCCCUGCUGUGGUAGAAGAAGCCUUGGGCGCUGGCAUGGUUCUGCUGUUGCCACUGACAGUGAUGGGGAAGCUGAAGACGCAGACAAAUUGAAGAUUUGCCUAAGGUGACACACCUCCUAAGAGGUAAAACUCAGGACAUCAAGCUUAGAACCUAAGUGUUUAACAACCAUGCCAGUGCCUCUGGAAGGUGAAAUCCACCAAGAAAUGACUGCCUUGCAGUGGUGACAAGAUGGUGGCUGUUUCCACUUUAAUAGGUUCCGUCACUUUGUGCACAAAGAAACACGUUCUCCUUGGAACUGGACAGCCCCCUCCACCGUGGGGAGCCUCCACAGCUGCCUUUCAUCCUGUUGCUACUCAGAGUGUGGUCCAUGGACCAUCAGUGAAUGCACUACCUGGGAGUUUAUUAAAAUGCAGACUCUUGGGCCCCGCCCCAGACCUUCUAAAGCAGAAUCUGCACUGUCCCCAAAUCCCCAGAUGAUGUGAAUACAUAUUAAAGUUUGAGAA
Molecule: long non-coding RNA, 1006 nt
Organism: Bubalus bubalis (water buffalo)
Lineage: Eukaryota; Metazoa; Chordata; Mammalia; Artiodactyla; Bovidae
Exons: 4
Source: RefSeq, a predicted model, not a curated record